Small nuclear RNA from Meriones unguiculatus (Mongolian gerbil), 103 nucleotides. The record is from Ensembl. Lineage: Eukaryota; Metazoa; Chordata; Mammalia; Rodentia; Muridae.
GUGCUCUCUUCAAUAGCACAUAUACUAAAUUGGAACAAUACAGAGAAGUUCAUGGUCCCUGUGUAAGUAUGAUAUGCAUAUCAGUGAAGCAUUACAUAUUUUU